CGACAUUCAUAUAAGAAUUUAAAAGGAGGCUCAGAUUCGCCUUUUUUAAGCAGAAGAUUGAACAUCCCAAACCAGCUAAAAAUGAGAAGCUCGCGAGCCAUCUAAUCAAAGUAAACAAAAACCGACCUUGAUUUAAGCAUAUAAAGCAUAUAAAAGGACAAAAGGAUUCCCUUUUUUCAUGCAGCAGAUUGAACAUGACAAAGGAACUCAAAAUUAGAAGCCCACAAGUUACCCACCUUGAUUUAAUCAUGUAAAAGGAGACUCAGAUUCCCCUUGUUCAAGCAGAAGAUUGAACAUCACAAAAGAGCUAAAAAAGAGAAGCUCCACGUCACCCACCUUGAUUUAAGCAAGUAAAAGGAGUCUCAGAUUUGCCUUUUUAAAGCAGAAGAUUGAAUAUCACAGAAGAGCUCAAAAUCAGAAGCUCGUGAGUCUUUUUCAAGCAGAAGAUUGAAUAUCACAAAAGAGCUCAAAGUCAAAACCUCGUGAGUCUUUUUCAAGCAAAAGAUUGAACAUCACAAAAGAGCUCAAAAUCAGAACCUCAAGAGUCAUCCACCCAAAGUAAACUAAUGCCAAUCUUGAUUUUAGCAUAUAAAAGGAGGCUCAGAAUCGCCUUUUUCAAGCAGAAGAUUGAACAUCACAAAACAGAUCAAAAUUAGAAGCCCACGAGUCACACACCCAAAGUUCACCAUACAGCCACUCACACACACAAGAAAGAAAGCAAAUAUAUUGGUAUAAAGGCUGAUGUCAGCAUGAGAAUCAAGGAUCAAAAUUAUGCCGAGCUUUGUUCACAUACCGACAACAUUCACCGAAUGUAAAACAAAAGCCGACAUUGAUUUAAGCAUAUAAAAGGAGCCUCAGAUUAUCCCUUUUAAAGCAGAAGAUUGAAAAUCACAAAAUAGCUUAAAAUCAGAAGCUCACGAGUCACCCACUCAAAGUAAACAACAGUCGACCUUCAUUUAACCAUAUAAAAGGAGGCCCAGAUUCCCUUUUUCAAGCAGAAGUUUGAACAUCACAAAAGAGCUCAAAAUUAGAAGCUCAAAAGUCACCCACCUCGAUUUAAGCAUGUAAAAGGAGUCUCAUAUUUGCCUUUUUCAAGCAGAAGAUUGAAUAUCACAAAAGAGCUCAAAAUCAGAGCUUCAUGAGUCUUUUUCAAGCAGAAGAUUGAAUAUCAAAUCAAAGCUCAUGAGUCUUUUUCACGCAGAAGUUUGAAUAUCACAAAAGUGCUCAAAAUAAGAACCUCACGAGUCAUCCACCCAAAGUAAACUAAAGCCGACCUUGAUUUUAGCAUAUAAAACGAGGCUCAGAUUCGCCUUUUUCAAGCAGAAAAUUGAACAUCACGAAACAGCUCAAAAUUAGAAGCUUACGGGUCACACACCCAAAGUUCACCAGACAGCCACUCACACACAAGAAAGAAAGCAAAUAUAUUGGUAUAAGGGCUGUUGUCAGCAUGAGACACAAGAAUCAAAAUUAUGCAAAGCUUUGUUCACAUAGCAGCAACAUUCACCGAAUUUAAAACUAAAGCCGACAUUGAUUUAAGCAUAUAAAAGGGGAAUAUAAAAGGAGGCUCAGAUUCGCCUUUUUAAAGCAGAAGAUUGAACAUCACAAACCAGCUAAAAAUCAGAAGCUCGCGAGUCAUCUAAUCAAAGUAAACAAAAACCGACCUUGAUUUAAGCAUAUAAAGCAUAUAAAAGGAGGCUCAGAUUCCCUUUUUUCAUGCAGAAGAUUGAACAUCACAAAGGAGCUCAAAAUUAGAAGCCCACGAGUCACCCACCUUGAUUUAAUCAUGUAAAAUGAGACACAGAUUCCCCUUGUUCAAGCAGAAGAUUGAACAUCACAAAAGAGCAAAUAUACUGGUAUAAGGGCUGUUGCCAGCAUGAGAAACAAGAAUCAAAAUUAUGCAAAGCUUUGUUCACAUAGCAACAAACUAAAGCUGACAUUGAUUUAAGCAUAUAAAAGGAGCCUCACAGUAUCCCUUUUAAAGCAGAAGAUUGAAUAUCACAAAAUAGCUUAAAAUCAGAGGCUCACGAGUCACCCACUCAAAGUAAACAGCAGCCGACCUUGAUUUAAGCAUAUAAAAGGAGGCUCAGGUUACCUUUUUCAAGCAGAAGAUUGAACAUCACAAAAGAGCUCAAAAUUAGAAGAUCUUGAGUCACCCACCUUGAUUUAAGCAUGUAAAACGAGUCUCAGAUUUGCCCUUUUCAAGCAGAGGAUUGAAUAUCAGAAAAGGGCUCAAAAUCAGAAGCUCAUGAGUCUCUUUCAAGCAGAAGAUUGAAUAUCACAAAAGAGCUCAAAAUCAGACACUCAUGAGUCUUUUUCACGCAGAAGAUUGAAUAUCACAAAAGAGCUCAAAAUCAGAACCUCACGAGUCAUCCACCCCAAGUAAACUAAAGCCUACUUUGAUUUUACCAUAUAAAAGGAGGCUUAGAUUUGCCUUUUUCAAGCAGAAGAUUGAACAUCACAAAACAGCUCAAAAUUAGAAGCUCACAAGUCACACACCCACAGUUUGCCAGACAGCCACGCACACACACAAGAAAAAAAGCAAAUAUACUGGUAUAAGGGCUGUUGCCAGCAUGAGAAAGAAGAAUCAAAAUUAUGCAAUGCUUUGUUCACAUAGGAACAACAUUCACCAAAUUUAAAACUAAAGCCGACAUUGAUUUCAGCAUAUCAAAGGAGCCUCAGAUUAUCCCUUUUAAAGCAGAAGAUUGAAUAUCACAAAAUAGCUCAAAAUCGGAGACUCACGAGUCACCCACUCAAAGUAAACAGCAGCCGACCUUGAUUUAAGAAUAUAAAGGGAGGCUUAGGUUCCCUUUUUCAAGCAGAAGAUUGAAAAUCACAAAAGAGCUCAAAAUUAGAAGAUCAUGAGUCGCCCACCUUGAUUUAAGCAAUAAAAUGAGUCUCAGAUUAGCCCUUUUCAAGCAGAGGAUUGAAUAUCAGAAAAGGGCUCAAAAUCAGAAGCUCAUGAGUCUCUUUCAAGCAGAAGAUUGAAUAUCACAAAAGAGCUCAAAAUCAGACGCUCAUGAGUCUUUUUCACGCAGAAGAUUGAAUAUCACAAAAGAGCUCAAAAUCAGANNNNNNNNNNNNNNNNNNNNNNNNNNNNNNNNNNNNNNNNNNNNNNNNNNNNNNNNNNNNNNNNNNNNNNNNNNNNNNNNNNNNNNNNNNNNNNNNNNNNNNNNNNNNNNNNNNNNNNNNNNNNNNNNNNNNNNNNNNNNNNNNNNNNNNNNNNNNNNNNNNNNNNNNUUAGAAGCUCACGAGUCACACACCCACAGUUUGCCAGACAGCCACUCACACACACAAGAAAGAAAGCAAAUAUACUGGUAUAAGGGGUGUUGCCAGCAUGAGAAAGAAGAAUCAAAUUAUGCAAUGCUGUGUUCACAUAGCAACAACAUUCACCGAAUUUAAAACUAAAGCCGACAUUGAUUUAAGCAUAUAAAAGGAGCCUCNN
RNAcentral lists this long non-coding RNA (3442 nucleotides) under Jatropha curcas. Its description in RNAcentral is "long non-coding RNA (JCUR_LNC002161)". Lineage: Eukaryota; Viridiplantae; Streptophyta; Magnoliopsida; Malpighiales; Euphorbiaceae. The record is from RNAcentral.